UCCAGUAAAUAAAAUCUUGAUCAUCUUACCCAUGAGAUAAGAUUCAUAAGUUCCAUAUAAUUCAAAAUCAUAAGGAUCAAAAAAUUUAUCUUUGUAUAACUUGUUAAUUCUUGACUCAUUUAUAAGACAAGUCAGCAGUGCCAGAGGUAUGUGACAUUUACAUCUUCUCUUUUCUUUUUCUUUAUAUUAUCAACAUGAAGUACAUUAUCAUUAAGU
RNAcentral lists this long non-coding RNA (216 nucleotides) under Elaeis guineensis (African oil palm). Its description in RNAcentral is "long non-coding RNA (EGUI_LNC057809)". The record is from RNAcentral. Lineage: Eukaryota; Viridiplantae; Streptophyta; Magnoliopsida; Arecales; Arecaceae.